Molecule: ribosomal RNA, 432 nt
Filed under: uncultured bacterium
Lineage: Bacteria
Description: partial 16S ribosomal RNA
Rfam family: Bacterial small subunit ribosomal RNA
Source: RNAcentral
AACGAACGCUGGCGGCAUGCCUAACACAUGCAGGUCGAACGAGACCUUCGGGUCUAGUGGCGCACGGGUGCGUAACGCGUGGGAACCUGCCCUUAGGUUCGGAAUAACUCCCCGAAAGGGGUGCUAAUACCGGAUAAUGUCUUCGGACCAAAGAUUUAUCGCCUUUGGAUGGGCCCGCGUUGGAUUAGCUAGUUGGUAGGGUAAAAGCCUACCAAGGCGACGAUCCAUAGCUGGUCUGAGAGGAUGAUCAGCCACACUGGGACUGAGACACGGCCCAGACUCCUACGGGAGGCAGCAGUGGGGAAUAUUGGACAAUGGGCGAAAGCCUGAUCCAGCAAGGCCGCGUGAGUGAUGAAGGCCUUAGGGUUGUAAAGCUCUUUUACCCGGGACGAUAAUGACAGGACCGGGAGAAUAAGCUCCGGCUAACUCCGU